UAAUACGUAGGGGGCUAGCGUUGUCCGGAUUUAUUGGGCGUAAAGAGCGUGUAGGCGGCCGAGUAAGUCCGGUGUGAAAACUCGAGGCUUAACCUCGAGAUGUCAUCGGAAACUAUUCGGCUAGAGUCCGGAAGAGGAGAGUGGAAUUCCUGGUGUAGCGGUGAAAUGCGCAGAUAUCAGGAAGAACACCUAUGGCGAAAGCAGCUCUCUGGGACGGUACUGACGCUGAGACGCGAAAGCGUGGGGAGCGAACAGGAUUAGAUACCCUGGUAGUCCACGCCGUAAACGAUGGGUGCUAGGUGUGGGCGGUGUCGACUCCGUCCGUGCCGAAGCUAACGCAUUAAGCACCCCGCCUGGGGAGUACGGCCGCAAGGCU
Molecule: ribosomal RNA, 376 nt
Filed under: uncultured bacterium
Lineage: Bacteria
Description: bacterial SSU rRNA
Rfam family: Bacterial small subunit ribosomal RNA
Source: RNAcentral